AGACGAACCGUCCAAACGUUAUUUGGAAUCACUGGGCUUAAAGGGUGCGUAGGCGGCCUUGUAAGUCGGGCGUGAAAGCCCACGGCUCAACCGUGGAAUUGCGCCCGAUACUGUAAGGCUAGAGGGAGAUAGAGGUGAGUGGAACUAAUGGUGGAGCGGUGAAAUGCGUUGAUAUCAUUGGGAACACCGGUGGCGAAGGCGACUCACUGGAUCUCUUCUGACGCUGAGGCACGAAAGCUAGGGUAGCGAACGGGAUUAGAAACCCCUGUAGUCC
RNAcentral lists this ribosomal RNA (274 nucleotides) under uncultured bacterium. RNAcentral describes it as "partial 16S ribosomal RNA". It matches the Rfam family "Bacterial small subunit ribosomal RNA", at positions 523 to 796 of the family's 1533-position model. The record is from RNAcentral.